This 3075-nucleotide long non-coding RNA is filed under the name Solanum tuberosum (potato). Its description in RNAcentral is "long non-coding RNA (STUB_LNC008852)". The record is from RNAcentral. Lineage: Eukaryota; Viridiplantae; Streptophyta; Magnoliopsida; Solanales; Solanaceae.
UUUUUUUGACUAAAGAUUAUAAAUGAAAAUACAAGAGUUGAUAAAAUAAGUUUUGUUAGAAACAAAACAACUCAGAUGAAUAGUUCGUCUUUUGGGGAAUUCAACUAAGUUAAUCAAAAAUUCUAAAGUUAGAGUUAAACAACAAAUAAUAAGUAAUCGCAAUUAAAUAAUUAAAGCGUAAGGGAGAAAUUGAAUUUGGGCCUUUCUUGGGCCAAAUUUGCUACUUUUUUUGGGGUUUAAACAAAACCCGUUUUUGGUAUACAGCUCAUGUAUAUCAGUGUAUAUCGCAUGUAUAUAAGCUCUUUUCAUGUAUAUCUUGCUUCCAAACACCUGUAUUUCGCCUUAGCCCUGUAUUUUACUCCCAAUUCGGAAUUCAUAUAUUUGUUUUCCAUUCCGGACUUGGCAACAAAGGAGAUGACUUGAAAAAGCUUUUGGGGCCUAAGUGGCCCGUUUCAUGUGCAAAGGGGUUGGAGAAGAGUUCAGUGAACUCAUCCGAUGAUGCCAUACAGAGGAAACAAAACAAGAGUUAGCCAGCUAUAAAUUAUUAUUUUUGGUGGAAAUGAAUCACAACUCCUAAAAAUAUACAACUGGAACUCAACACUAUAACAACAAAAAUUCAAACAAGCAAGAUUAUAAUAGUCAUAAUAUAUAUCUCCCUUGGAGCAAAAUGAUAUUACCCACCCGUGGAGUAUGCCAUUCAAUUAGUAACCAAAAGAAAGAAAAAAUUUCACAUAAAACAAAAAAUAAAAUAAAAUCCCUUAAUAACAUAUCUAAGCACCUGGAUGCUUAUUCUUGAGUAUAAGUACAAAAUUAGCCAUUAUAAGAAAUAUAUAUAUUUAUAGACACUUAUCACUAAACAUCUAUGCAAACUAAAACCAAAAUAUGCACAUUAAUCCACAUAUCACAAAUAUUAGACUAAUGGACAUGAAUAUUCAAAACGGAGAAGUUAAUCAAUGAGGCAGUAAGCACGUGACGAGGGUAGAAUAGCCUUAUUAGAUACAAGGAUCCAAGUUAUUCAAUUUUUAAAGAUGAAGUAUUUUGAACUAAAAUAGUAAAUGACCAGCCGAUUCGAAGAAUAUGGAGACAUAUAUUUAUCUUCUCAAACGUAUAUUCCAAGCUGCUCUUAUCACAAUGUAAAGUAGAUAGAUAAAACAUGAAUCAUAUGCAAAAUGAGAGGCAUUCGGUUAUAUGAACGACUAGCUAAUUUCCAAACUUAAACUAACAUAUGAAUAGAAGGUAAAAACCAACUCAAGGCUAGGCAAGACAGAUUCUAUGAAACGGGUACAACGAAUAAACUCAAAACAAUAGCAACUCCCAUGCGAGAAAAUCACAAAUAACAUACAAAUACCAACUUUUUAAAUGCCAAAUUGAGACAAAAUUGAUCCAAUGGAGAUUCACAUACUUUUAAAAAAAAUAAUCAAACUUAUGAAAGAAAAUAAUUGAACUGCUCAAUCAUAAGGUAAAACAGAGUAAUCCGCUAACAAUAACAUCAAAUUAAUAUCAAAGUAUUCACUACAUCGAGAAUAUACAAUGAUUUAUAUAAGACGAUAAAAGUUUACCUUUUCCGGGGCAGGGACUGGGACGAUGAGCUUGACUAUGAAGCAACCCCCACUACCACAACAAAGUUUCGUUGAAGAAUCCUUCGAAUUCCAGAAACCAAAAGCCUCGUUUUUUUUUUUUUUUGACUAAAGAUUAUAAAUGAAAAUACAAGAGUUGAUAAAAUAAGUUUUGUUAGAAACAAAACAACUCAGAUGAAUAGUUCGUCUUUUGGGGAAUUCAACUAAGUUAAUCAAAAAUUCUAAAGUUAGAGUUAAACAACAAAUAAUAAGUAAUCGCAAUUAAAUAAUUAAAGCGUAAGGGAGAAAUUGAAUUUGGGCCUUUCUUGGGCCAAAUUCACUACUUUUUCUGGGGUUUAAACAAAACCCGUUUUUGGUAUACAGCUCAUGUAUAUCAGUGUAUAUCGCAUGUAUAUAAGCUCUUUUCAUGUAUAUCUUGCUUCCAAACACCUGUAUUUCGCCUUAGCCCUGUAUUUUACUCCCAAUUCGGAAUUCAUAUAUUUGUUUUCCAUUCCGGACUUGGCAACAAAGGAGAUGACUUGAAAAAGCUUUUGGGGCCUAAGUGGCCCGUUUCAUGUGCAAAGGGGUUGGAGAAGAGUUCAGUGAACUCAUUCGAUGAUGCCAUACAGAGGAAACAAAACAAGAGUUAGCCAGCUAUAAAAAAAAAAUUGGUGGAAAUGAAUCACAUCUCCUAAAAAUAUAAAACUGGAACUCAACACUAUAACAACAAAAAUUCAAACAAGCAAGAUUAUAAUAGUCAUAAUAUAUAUCUCCCUUGGAGCAAAAUGAUAUUACCCACCCGUGGAGUAUGCCAUUCAAUUAGUAACCAAAAGAAAGAAAAAAUUUCACAUAAAACAAAAAAUAAAAUAAAAUCCCUUAAUAACAUAUCUAAGCACCUGGAUGCUUAUUCUUGAGUAUAAGUACAAAAUUAGCCAUUAUAAGAAAUAUAUAUAUUUAUAGACACCUAUCACUAAACAUCUAUGCAAACUAAAACCAAAAUAUGCACAUUAAUCCACAUAUCACAAAUAUUAGACUAAUGGACAUGAAUAUUCAAAACGGAGAAGCUAAUCAAUGAGGCAGUAAGCACGUGACGAGGGUAGAAUAGCCUUAUUAGAUACAAGGAUCCAAGUUAUUCAUUUUUUAAAGAUGAAGUAUUUUGAACUAAAAUAGUAAAUGACCAGCCGAUUCGAAGAAUAUGGAGACAUAUAUUUAUCUUCUCAAACGUAUAUUCCAAGCUGCUCUUAUCACAAUGUAAAGUAGAUAGAUAAAACAUGAAUCAUAUGCAAAAUGAGAGGCAUUCGGUUAUAUGAACGACUAGCUAAUUUCCAAACUUAAACUAACAUAUGAAUAGAAGGUAAAAACCAACUCAAGGCUAGGCAAGACAGAUUCUAUGAAACGGGUACAACGAAUAAACUCAAAACAAUAGCAACUCCCAUGCGAGAAAAUCACAAAUAACAUACAAAUACCAACUUUUUAAAUGCCAAAUUGAGACAAAAUUGAUCCAAUGGAGAUUCACAUA